AGCCGGUAGCAACGGAAGGGGCUUCCCCUAAUGCCGCCAUUGUUGUUAUUGUUUACGCUGCGUGCCUACGGACAGACAGUGACCGUUUUUGACGCAUUUCUCUCAUCGCACUGAAUUCUCAAUGCAUCAAUUCGUCUGUACAGAUGAGGACCACCACCAUGAGAACUGCCCUAAAGGAGAGACUCCUGGUGUUUUUUUCAAAGGCUGAAGCAAGGGGGUUGCCACCAGGUAGUCAUGUCGGGACUCCACUUUGCCAGCUGGUCGCUGAUCACGUGCGACCAAUCUUCACGCGUCUGUCAUCCAAUGACCUACUGGGCCGCUGCAUUCUACAGCACCCAAAACGCUAACGAAAGUGAGCUUGCAGUUGCAGUCAUGGGCUUGCUGCCCAAUGCACCAGUUUGUUCAUCGCAAUCGCCUGUCUAUUGCUGUUGCUAUUGGUGAAUCUACUUCGGUGCGAGCUCAUCGCGUGACUUUCUCACAACCCUCAACCUGCCUGUCGGUCGAGAAACAAGCGUCACGGGGAAAAGCGGGACCACACAAGAACUGUGAAAGCACAGGUAGCAGCCACAGAGAAAGCCAAGAGAUACAGGCUAAUCAGGGCAGAGACAAGAGCAGAGAAUGAUAGAAGCUUUUAUAUAUAUAUGGAGAAUUUUAUGUCUCUGGAGGUGGAGACUAGUAUGUUUAGGUAGUGUUUAAUUUUUUUAAAAGAAGGGGUACAAUGAGAAUUUUGGGCUAUAAAAAGUAAAACAUGACUGUUACAUUGUUCUUUUUGAGUGGAGAAUGUUCAGAGUACUUCCUGUUUCAAUGUUUGUAAGGUUUUUUACCUUAGAAAUGUGUCUGGGUCUUCUGUUGGCCAAUAAAAAUCUCAUUUUGCGUUUUUCUCAAAAUACCUUUUUUGACAAAUUUGUCUCACUUUUUGUACCAGAUCUCAGAAAGUUCUUGUCAGAACUUGUUUAAAUUUGCACACAAUGUUCUUUGCAUGUAUGCCUACCACCUAACAGAGAGAUUUUUGACUUUUCUGUUUUAGUUAAUAUUUUUUUAAUGUUUGGCCUUUGAUUACCUGAACAUUUCGGAGAUCUGAAUUUGACCCCACCCCUAUGACAGAGUAUCUGAAAGUCAAUGGACAGAAGUCAAAUCUGGCAUUGUUAGGUGGUAGAGAAUGAUCAUUUCUAUUACCAUGCCAAGUAUGAAGACUCUAUCUUGAGUGGUUUUUAAGAUCUCAAGAAAAUAAAAAUGUCAUUAAAA
Long non-coding RNA from Aplysia californica (California sea hare), 1245 nucleotides. RefSeq lists it as uncharacterized. The record is from RefSeq and is a predicted model, not a curated record. NCBI's taxonomy places the organism in Eukaryota, Metazoa, Mollusca, Gastropoda, Aplysiida, Aplysiidae. The transcript has 2 exons.